This is a non-coding RNA of Rattus norvegicus (Norway rat), 4597 nucleotides long. The record is from RefSeq and is a predicted model, not a curated record. NCBI's taxonomy places the organism in Eukaryota, Metazoa, Chordata, Mammalia, Rodentia, Muridae.
AGAGAAGCUUCUUGUGAGGAUCCUCCGGCUUCUUGCCACGUCUGCAGACUGGGCAGAUUGGCAAACCAAUCCAGGUUCUUCUGGAUUGAGCUGCCCUCCCUUGCUGACUCACCUGUGGUGUCUGCUGAAUUGUGACUCCAGAUAGCUGUGUUAAAGGAAUCCAGCAGCAUCCAGUUCUGCAGUCAUUAGUGGGCAAGAUGGCUUCAUGUUCAGUGAGGCUCAAAAUGCCUUAAUGAGAGGGUGAUUCCUUAGUGAGCGCAAGUGGGACCCUAUGUCCUCUGUGACCUGCAGAGAAGAGACUUCAUACUACCUUCUGGAGAGUGGGCAGUGCUCAGGCAUGGAGGAAGAUUGACUUAUGUGGCAUAUGUGGUAGGCAUUUGGGAUCCUUCUAGCAAUGUUCAGAAGCAUGUGGUCAUCAGGGACAUCUAGAAUAUGUCUGGAGGUUAGAGACGUGGAGAGACAUUACAGAAGAGGCUGAUGUUUGCAGAUCUAAGUCAGCAGCACAUUUGGUGAUGAUGCCACAGAGACUAAGAAACACACACUCAACAGGUCUACUUCCGACCUUUGGGCAGUUCAACCAAUUAAAAGGCAGCACACUCUCUCCUCUUCCCUCCUCCUCCUCCUCCUCCACUUCCUCCUCCUCCUCUUCCUCCUCCCCCUCCUUCUCUCUCUCUCUCUCUCUCUCUCUCUCUCUCUCUCUCUCUCUCUCUCUCACACACACACACACACAUACACACACACUGUCUCUCACUCUCCUGUCCUCUCCUCUCUUCUCCCCUCUCUCCAUUAGCCUUGUCACUUCACCUGUUUGUGAGAGGCCAAAUCUUUUAAGUUCAGACUCCAUUUUAGAGAACCUGACCUUAGUUUAAACUCAGGUAAACUAACAGCCUGGUACCUAGCAUUAGUUUCCAAGUUGCCCUCCAAGGAAACUAGUCUCUAGGCUAAUCCCCAACAGACCAGUGUCUCCAGGUUACACCCUCAGCAAACCUGCACCCUAGGUUACAAGCCCACCCCCUGCCUAGUGACCACCAAUGCAGAGGGGAACAGAAAGUUAAGUUUAUGACAUGACUCCCAGCACCAGCCAAUUAUGUUAAAGGCCACAGUAGCUUUCCAGUUAGAUGCUUGCUCCUUACUGUAAAGCCUCCCCCACCUCAAAACCAUCCCGUGUGAUGGUGGUAUAUUGGAGGGGUCCAAGCUAGCUCAGAUAGAAUAAAGACCCUGCUGUGAGUAGCAUCAGACCGGCUCCUGUCUGUUUUGGGGAGGGGAUCACUACUUUUCCCUGACACUACAUUAGCAGCCAAGAUCUGGAUGGGAUUGAAUACCUUGUCUGGUUUUCUUUGGUGGCUGGUGAAUGUCUUGCCUUUUCAGUAACAGCACUGGAGUCUCCGUUAACAAUGUGUGUAAAGGGGGCUUACUCUGAAAUGACGGUUACUGCUCUCUCUAGAGAAACACUUGUAAAGUCACUAGUGUAAGAACUCUGAGGCCAGCCUGGUGUACAACAGUGAGCUCCAGGACAGCGGGGGCUACACAGAAAAACCUUGUUUAAAAAUUAAAAAAAAAAAAAAAAGCAAAAAACCCAACAACAAAAAAACCAAAUAGAAAACAAAACAACAAAACAAAACAAAAACAAACAAACAAACAACCCAAAUCAAAACAGAAGGCUUCGAAGGUGUCACUGAGGCUGGGUGGACGCCUGUCGGCAGCACGGUUGGGUGGACGCCUGUCGGCAGGACGGUUGGGUGGAUGCCUGUCGGCAGGACGGUUGGGUGGACGCCUGUCGGCAGGACAGUUGCUGUGUACUCCAUGUGAAGCCUCUUUAGCAGGUGAAGCACAGUAAUCGAAAGCAUCUGCCUACAGAGGUGCAUUUCGAAGGUCACGGCUGUCACCGUGCUUCUCCUUGGCUCUUGUCCCCACACCACAACCUACCAUAGACCAUCUUACCAUUUAUUUAAUUCUAUUUUAUGUUUUAUUUUUAAUAUAUUUUAUAUGUUACAUAUUUACAUUUUAUUUUAUGUGUGUUUUGUCCGCAUGUAUGUGUGAGGGUGUCAGAUCCCCUUGGACUUGAGUUACAGAUGGUUAUGAGCCGUCCGGUGGGUGCUAGGGUUUGAACUCGGGACCUCUGGAAGAGCAGCCGGUGCUCUUAACCGCAGAGCCAUCUCUCCAAUCCCUGCUUAUCUUUCAGCUGCUUGUUUUUCUUUACGGGGAUGGGGAAAGUGGGAGACAUAUUGGAUAACUUCACUGAUGAUGCUAGGCAUAAAGACUCCCUGGUCUCAUGUGUCUCUGGAAAAUGGAGGCCACAGCCACCCAGGAGGCAGGCAGCUCUGGAGGGAGGCUAGGUUGGACCUUCUGACUUCCUCAUUGGCCAUCUGUAUUAGUUAUUUUUAAAAUUCCAUGACAAAAUCCCUCACCAGAAGCAGCUUAAAGGAGGCUUUUUUCGCUUCACUGUGCAAAGGACACUGUCUGUCAUGGGGGGAAGACAUGGUGGCUGGUGUGGGAAGUGACUGGUCACAUCACAUCCGCAGUCGGGAGGCAGAAGACAUGGACAGCCAUGUUCAGCUCACUUCUGCUGCGCUUCUGGUCUGGUCCCAGUCGGAGGAAGGUGUUACCCAUACUCAGUGUGGCCGUCCCUCCUCAGUUAAACCUUCCCGGAAGCACCUCCUAGACACACCCAGAAGCGUGUUUCGUAGGACUGCAGGUCCAUUUGAGUCGAUGAUCAAUAACCACCCCCCAGUCUGUCCUCAACAGGCCUCACUGUCCAGACCCCAGGACCGGCCUCUUACGGCAGCCGAGUGUUUGCUCUGGCACCGAUGCACUGGCCAGUUACUUCUCCAUUUGUAACACAGAGAACAGCGUGUGUUUAUAAAAUAAAAAAGAGGGUUUGUCCGCAUGUUAGCUGGUGGUUUGCGGUUAUGAACACAUACCUGUUCAGAGGGGUUUAUCAAACACUGAUUGAUGUGUCUGGGAUAGGAAAUGAAGCACGUGGUUUAUAAACUUGGCAGGUUUGAAUGCCAAGGGGUAACGGGCAUGACCAACACGAAGAGCCGGGAUUUAAAAACGAUCCUGGGUCCUGAAUGUUGUAUUUUUUUCCCUCUGAAGUUUUUUGGGUCAUCUUUCUUCUGAAUUCACUGGCAUUUGAGUUUUUCUAUGCCUUUGGAUGUGUGUAUGUGAUGUGUGUGAUGUGUGUGUGUGUGUGGUGUGUGUGUGUGUGAUGUGUGUGUGUGAUGUGUGUGGUGUGUGUGAUGUGUGUGGUGUGUGUAUGUGUGUGUGUGGUGUGUGUAUAUGUGGUGUGUGUAUGUGUGUGUGUGGUGUGUGUAUAUGUGGUGUGUGUAUGUGUGUGUGUGUGUGUAUAUGUGGUGUGUGUAUGUGUGUGUGUGAUGUGUGGUGUGUGAUGUGUGGUGUGUGUGUGAUGUGUGGUAUGUGUGUGUGUGUGAUGUGUGUGUGGUGUGGUAUGUGUAUGUGUGUGAUGUGUGUGUGUGUAUGUGUGUGUGUGUGUGUGUGUGUGUGUGUGUAGCUUCCAACAGACUGAGACGUUUCUGUGGAGACAUUGGGCCGAAUAGUUGUCAUGGCUAACACCCCACUGCCCGUAGUGAUUGUCUUGUCUUGUAGUGUGUGUGGAGGCAGGGGUGGGUGUUGGGGAUGGGGGAGAGAGGCAUCUCCCAGAAGCCAACACUGUCAUCAGAUUGGUGGAGACAUUCCCUAUUGGUAUUCUGAGGCAGGGUGGGAACAGAAUUGGGAACUUUUCAAAGGCAGAGCUGACCACACUGGUAGAAGGCAGUGACUCUAUUCACACCUCUCCUGAAAUGCUGUGACACUUGAGACAAGUCAGGUGACCGUUGGGGGAGGGUGGCGGCAGUGUGUCAGUCUUUGCCUCUGGUAUCACAGCUGGAAACAGAAGUAGUUUUUUGAGGUUGCUGAUAACCAGAGCGUCUGUUCCUGUGAUAAUCUUGUUAGCAGCGGGGACUGCUUUUGAGUUUGGGGAAGCCUAGUGGAAGCCGCUAUUGUGUCUAAGUGUACAAUUCCCAAGAAGGUCUGUCUGUCUUAGUCACUCAUAAAACAUCCCAAACUAGAACCAAAACUGCCUCUGUGUGGCUGUCCACGUACUACACCCCUGAGGGAUGAGACUGAAGUAUUUAUGACUGGAUAGGUAUGGUGGGUCCCUCAGGCAGUUUCUAAGCAUGUGUGGUAGCCAGGGGUGGACAGUACACUUAGGAGCUGCUGCACUGACCCUGGCCUCCAAGGGACCGUGAUAUGGAAAAAUACUAGUGCAAAGUCAGGUGACCUUGAAUUCUACGAUGUCAACUGGGCUUCCUUAGACUGGCCCUCUCCACUUGGAAUUGGAGGAAACAUCCAAUUGGAACCUGUGUGUGUGUGUGUGUGUGUGUGUGUGUGUGUGUGGCCAUCAAGAUGGCCAUGGAGAAGCCUGAAGCUUGCUCGGAAAGCCCUUGUGAGCAGCAUUGUGUAUACAGACAGGGAGUGAGUGCUGCAAACCAAGGGGCAGCCUUUUCCUGGCAAGGGCUAUUUAGGAGGGAGAUGGAGAGAUGGUGUCAGUGUCAGGGGGAGAGGGAGAGAGUUAGAAGGCACAAGGAAAAGAAGCAGG